Molecule: small RNA, 28 nt
Filed under: Arabidopsis thaliana (thale cress)
Lineage: Eukaryota; Viridiplantae; Streptophyta; Magnoliopsida; Brassicales; Brassicaceae
Description: ATSL221070
Source: RNAcentral
AAAAGAAAGGAGAAGAAGGAAAAAAAGA